CCUACGGGUGGCAGCAGUGAGGAAUAUUGGUCAAUGGGCGCGAGCCUGAACCAGCCAAGUCGCGUGAGGGAAGACGGUCCUAUGGAUUGUAAACCUCUUUUGUCGGGGAGCAAAAGACGCCACGCGUGGCGUUCCGAGAGUACCCGAAGAACAAGCAUCGGCUAACUCCGUGCCAGCAGCGGCGGUAGUACGGAGGAUGCGAGCGUUAUCCGGAUUUAUUGGGUUAAAGGGGUGCGCAGGCGGAAGAUCAAGUCAGCGGUAAAAUUGAGAGGCUCAACCUCUGCGAGCCGUUGAAACUGGUUGUCUUGAGUGAGUGAGAGGUAUGCGGAAUGCGUGGUGUAGCGGUGAAAUGCAUAGAUAUCACGCAGAACUCCGAUUGCGAAGGCAGCAUACCGGCGCUCAACUGACGCUCAUGCACGAAAGUGUGGGUAUCGAACAGGAUUAGAUACCCGUGUAGUC
This 459-nucleotide ribosomal RNA is filed under the name uncultured bacterium. RNAcentral describes it as "partial 16S ribosomal RNA". It matches the Rfam family "Bacterial small subunit ribosomal RNA", at positions 338 to 795 of the family's 1533-position model. The record is from RNAcentral.